This 497-nucleotide ribosomal RNA is filed under the name uncultured bacterium. RNAcentral's name for it is "partial 16S ribosomal RNA". It matches the Rfam family "Bacterial small subunit ribosomal RNA", at positions 28 to 507 of the family's 1533-position model. The record is from RNAcentral.
GAUGAACGCUGGCGGCGUGCCUAAUACAUGCAAGUCGAGCGAACAGACGAGGAGCUUGCUCCUCUGACGUUAGCGGCGGACGGGUGAGUAACACGUGGAUAACCUACCUAUAAGACUGGGAUAACUUCGGGAAACCGGAGCUAAUACCGGAUAAUAUAUUGAACCGCAUGGUUCAAUAGUGAAAGACGGUUUUGCUGUCACUUAUAGAUGGAUCCGCGCCGCAUUAGCUAGUUGGUAAGGUAACGGCUUACCAAGGCAACGAUGCGUAGCCGACCUGAGAGGGUGAUCGGCCACACUGGAACUGAGACACGGUCCAGACUCCUACGGGAGGCAGCAGUAGGGAAUCUUCCGCAAUGGGCGAAAGCAUGACGGAGCAACGCCGAGUGAGUGAUGAAGGUCUUCGGAUCGUAAAACUCUGUUAUUAGGGAAGAACAAAUGUGUAAGUAACUAUGCACGUCUUGACGGUACCUACUCAGAAAGCCACGGCUAACUACGUG